Long non-coding RNA from Dermacentor andersoni, 1285 nucleotides. RefSeq lists it as uncharacterized. Lineage: Eukaryota; Metazoa; Arthropoda; Arachnida; Ixodida; Ixodidae. The record is from RefSeq and is a predicted model, not a curated record.
AGCCCUACCUUGUGUUCCAAAGGUAUAAUUUAAGCUCUAAAUUAAAGAAGACAUUUCUAGUCAGAAACAAGCAAAAAUGGUGAAUGCAGAGUAUCAGAAGCCCAAGGUACAGAAAUUAUGAGAAGUGUCGGAUGAUUUUAAGGAAAGAGUCGUAUUUAAAAAUGCAAGACUCUUUAGUGGAGUUCAAGCAAGUCAAUAUACGUAGAAUACUCUGCAAAAUUAUGCGAGUGAGGGGAUGUCAAACAAUGGGUCAGGAAAUGCAUUGUUUUUCUGCAAAACAAAAGCUGAUUGCCAUUACAUAAGUCACUUUAGCAUCAUGAGACUACUGCUUGAUAAAUUCAGAAAUAAACCAAAAAACAAGACACGCAAAAAUAAAAAACAAUUUAAUGAUGCUCUCUCCACACUGGGAUAAAUAAAAACAAACACAUCACAUCUAAUGUGGACAUAUCAGACGCCUUCUGAAACACUAAAGGAAAAAUUCAGUUUUGAGCUAUGGCACUUGCCACGUAGAUGUGGGGGGCCUUGCACUAAUAGUGAUAGUUACCACUGCAUUUAGAAAUUGAAAGCAUUCAUGCAGACACGGAUGAUUCUUUAUAUUUUUGGCUACCACUUCAAAUGCCUCCACCAAGUGUGACAAUGGUGCACGCAGCCAUACUAAGGAUCUCGCAGCAACACCUGCAGGUAAAAAGCAGAAGCAGUCAAAGUGAUGGUGUGUACUGGACACCAUGUUUGAAAACCUUUAGGCAAGAAGAGUGCAAGAAGCAGACAUAACAACUGCAUUUAUUUCCAUAAUUCCCCAUUUGAAUGGCCUUUUAUUUUUGCUUAGACAAUGCCUACGCCUAGCCACAGCAGCUCCCUCAUACAGACUCCGCAAGCCAAGAGGCCGUGGAGGCAAAUGCAGGCAGCCAGCACACCUCGAACAGCCACCUUGACUGCGGGUGUGUCACCCUAGUCGCCAAGGAAACAUCUGAGGGAAAGCGACAGGCAAUGUGAACAGCCACUUCUCCAUGUAAACGAUACUCUUUCUCUCGGAUGACUCCUACGCCUCGCCACGCCAGCACACUUGUGCACAAAGAUGCUGCGGAGGCACGUGCAGCUCAGAGGCAAGAAGCAGUGGCACUGGUGUCGACAUUCACCCAAUUUCUUUUUCUUACACUGAGGCAGCCAGCACACCUCGAACAGCCACCUCGACUGCGGGUGUGUCAGUAGAUUCCUGUUGUACAUAUGCUCAUAACAAACUUCAGUAAACUUGAACUUGAUAAUAAACUUGAAGGCAAAUGGGACA